AGGUGUGUCCUGUUGUAUUUU
Molecule: small nuclear RNA, 21 nt
Filed under: Arabidopsis thaliana (thale cress)
Lineage: Eukaryota; Viridiplantae; Streptophyta; Magnoliopsida; Brassicales; Brassicaceae
Description: snRNA_11826
Source: RNAcentral